CGUGAGCGGCGGACGGGUGGGUAACGCGUGGGUAACCUGCCUCAUACAGGGGAUAACAGUUGGAAACGGCUGCUAAUACCGCAUAAGCGCACAGUACCGCAUGGUACGGUGUGAAAAACUCCGGUGGUAUGAGAUGGACCCGCGUCUGAUUAGGUAGUUGGUGGGGUAACGGCCUACCAAGCCGACGAUCAGUAGCCGACCUGAGAGGGUGACCGGCCACAUUGGGACUGAGACACGGCCCAA
This 243-nucleotide ribosomal RNA is filed under the name uncultured bacterium. Its description in RNAcentral is "partial 16S ribosomal RNA". It matches the Rfam family "Bacterial small subunit ribosomal RNA", at positions 90 to 334 of the family's 1533-position model. The record is from RNAcentral.